RNAcentral lists this ribosomal RNA (427 nucleotides) under uncultured beta proteobacterium. RNAcentral's name for it is "bacterial SSU rRNA". It matches the Rfam family "Bacterial small subunit ribosomal RNA", at positions 355 to 774 of the family's 1533-position model. The record is from RNAcentral. Lineage: Bacteria; Pseudomonadati; Pseudomonadota; Betaproteobacteria.
UGGGGAAUUUUGGACAAUGGGCGAAAGCCUGAUCCAGCCAUGCCGCGUGAGUGAAGAAGGCCUUCGGGUUGUAAAGCUCUUUUAGUCGGAAAGAAAGAGUUGCAAUGAAUAAUUGUGAUUUAUGACGGUACCGACAGAAAAAGCACCGGCUAACUACGUGCCAGCAGCCGCGGUAAUACGUAGGGUGCGAGCGUUAAUCGGAAUUACUGGGCGUAAAGGGUGCGCAGGCGGUCUUGCAAGUCAGAUGUGAAAGCCUCGGGCUUAACCUGGGAAUUGCGUUUGAAACUACAAGGUUAGAGUGCAGCAGAGGGGAGUGGAAUUCCAUGUGUAGCAGUGAAAUGCGUAGAGAUGUGGAAGAACACCGAUGGCGAAGGCAGCUCCCUGGGUUGACACUGACGCUCAUGCACGAAAGCGUGGGGAGCAAACA